AAGCAACCCAGAGCCCUCCUCCCGCCUGCUCUGUGUAGGAGACAGCCUGCGGAGCCCACUGCCGGCGCGCAGAGAGCCCAGCAGCUCUUGAGUCCAGGAAGCAAGGGUGGGAGGAGGGACGAGCCAGUGGCAAUGACCCAGACCCGGACGACCCCCAUUGCUGAGCCAGCGGAGCUGCUUGGAGGCAGAGGUUGCAGUGAGCUGAGAUUUUGCGACUACACUCCAACCUGGGCAACAGAGCGGGACUCCAUUCCAAAAAAAUAAGAAAAACAGAAAAAUAAUAAUUACAUCUGCAAAGACCUUAUUUCCAGGAAUACUAGCUAGUGGGCUGUGCUGAAGUUUGCUGCUGCUGCUGGAGCCACAUGUAUUGCUGGUCACUUCACUUCUGGAACCUUUGCUAACCAGAUCCAAUCAUCUUCUGCCACCCACAUCUUCUGGUGGUUACUGAUUCUAGGGCUAACUAUCAGCCUCUCUCAGGGGCUUCUUAUGGUAACCUACCUACCUACCACUGCUGUAUGUAACAGAUUCUCCUCUGAGCUAUGUGGAUAUUGUCAUCCCAUGCAACAACAAGGAAGCUCAAUCACUGAGUCUAAUGUAGUGGAUGCUGGCCCAGGAAGCUCUGUGCAUGUGUUGCACCAUCUCCCAUGAUCAUGCCUGAUCUCUACUUCUAUAGAGAUCCUGAAGAGAUUGAAAAGGAAGAGUAGGCUGCAGCUGAAAAAGGAGGAAUUUCAAAGUGAAUGGACUGCUGUAGUGCAAGUUUACUGCUACUCAAUCUGAGGUUGCAGACUGGUUUAAAGACAUGCAGGUGCCCUCUGUGCCUAUUCAGCAGUUCCCUACUGAAGAUUGGAGCACUUAGCCUACCAUGAAUGACUGGUCUGCAACUUCCACUGCUCAGACCACUGAAUGGGUAAGAAUAACCACUGAGUGGCCUUAAGCUGUUCUUCCACAAGCUCUUAAACAAGAUGGAAAUAACGCUGAUGGAAAUAAACAACAGUUUCCAAGAAAACACGAACAGCUGAAGUGGCAAUGUUUAAGUAACAUCUGGUAGACUUUAACAUGAAUGUUAUUAAGCAGGAAAUUAUGAUCUUUUAAGUUGGAACAUGUAAUGUUAAUCCUUUUGCACCAAAAUAUCUCUUUAAGUCUAAAUUAUCCACUUUUUUUUUUAAUUCUUCGUAGAGAUAGAGGUUUCGCUUUGUUGCCCAGGCUGUUCUUGACUUCCUAACUUCAAGCAAUCCUUCUGCCUCAGCCUCCCAGAGUGCUGGGAUUAUAGGCAUUUGCCACCGUGCCUGGUGUACCCAGUUUCUGUUAUCAACAGAAUGCAGUGGUGUAUGGUUGCUAAAGGGUCCCAAGAUCAGGACCUACGUUAAGGUGGAUUUUGAAUUAUUUAAAAUUCUGAUUUUGUUUUAUUUUUAAUUAAUCUUUGGGGGAAGGAUGGGAGGGGGGUGAGGGUUGAAGAAGUAAACAUUGUACCUAUUGGAUACAAUGUUUAAUAUUUGUGUGAUGGGCACACUGGAAGCCCAAACCUCACUAUUACACAAUACAUUCAUGUAACAAGCCUGCACAUGCACCUCCUGAAUCUAUUUUUAAAAAUUUAAUUCUCUAGCACAGACUCCCUUUUUUUGGUAAGAUGGCGGGGUACGACUUAACUACUCGCAUCACGCACCUUUUGGAUCGGCAUCUAGUCUUUCCGCUCCUUGAGUUUCUCUCUGUAAAGGAGAUAUAUAAAGAAAAGGAAUUAUUACAAGGUAAAUUGGACCUUCUUAGUGAUGCCAACAUGGUAGACUUUGCUAUGGAUGCAUACAAAAACCUUUAUUCUGAUGAUAUUCCUCAUGCUUUGAAAGAGAAUAGAACCACAGUUGUUGCACAACUGAAACAGCUUCAGGCAGAAACAGAACUAAUUGUGAAAAUGUUUGAAGAUCCAGAAACGACAAGGCAAAUGCGGUCAACCAGGGAUGGUAGGAUGCUCUUUGACUACCUGGCGGACAAGCAUGGUUUUAGGCAGGAGUAUUUAGAUACAUUCUACACAUAUGCAAAAUUCCAGUAUGAAUGUGGGAAUUACUCAGGAGCAGCAGAAUAUCUUUAUUUUUUCAGAGUGUUGGUUCCAGCAACAGACAGAAAUGCUGUAAGUUCACUCUGGGGAAAGCUGGCCUCUGAAAUCUUAAAGCAGAAUUGGGAUGCAGACAUGGAAGACCUUACAUGGUUAAAAGAGACCAUAGAUAAUAAUUCUGUGAGUUCUCCACUCCAGUCUCUUCAGCAGAGAGCAUGGCUCGUUCACUGGUCUCUGUUUUCUUCAAUCACCCCAAAGGUUGUGAUAAUAUUGUUGAUCUCUUCCUUUACCAGCCACAGCAUCUUAAUGUGUCCACACAUUCUUCACUAUUUGACUACAGCAGUCAUAGCAAACAAGGAUGUUCGAAAACGUUGGCAGGUGCUAAAAGAUCUAGGUAAAGUUACUCAACAGGAGUCUUACACAUAUAAAGACCCAAUUACAGAAUUUGUUGAAUGCUUAUAGAUUAACUUUGACUUAGAUGGGGCUAAGAAAAAGCUGAGAGAAUGUGAAUCAGUGCUUGUGAACGACUUCUUGGUGGCUUGUCUUAAGGAUUUCAUUGACAAUGCCCAUCUCUUCAUAUUUGAGACUUUCUGUCACAUCCACCAGUGUAUCAGCAUUAACAUGUUGGCAGACAAAUUGAACAUGACUCCAGAUGAAACUGAAAGGUGGAUUGUAAAUGUGAUUAGAAAUGCAAGACUGGAUGCCAAGAUUGAUUCUAAAUUAGGUCAUGUGGUUAUGGUAACAAUGUACUCUCACCCUAUCAGCAAGUGAUUGAAAAGACCAAAAGCCUUUCUUUUAGAAGCUAGAUUUUGGCCAUGAAUAUUGAGAAGAAACUUAAUGACAAUAGCAGGUCAGAGGCUCCUAACUGGGCAACUCAAGAUUCUGGCUUCUACUGAAGAAACAUAAGGAAAAGAUUUUAAAAAAACUCUAAAAGAAAGAUGAAAUAAUAAAACUAUUAUAUAAAGGGUGACUUACAUUUUGGAAACAACAUAUUGAGUGUAAAUUGUGAAGAAUUGGAAUAAAAUUGACUGAUUCAAAAAAAUUUAAUUCACAAAAAAAUUUUAAUCCUUUUAAGCUAAUUAUAGAUUCACAUGUAGUUGUAAGAAGUUACAAAGAGGCUAGGUGCAGUAGCUGACGCCCAUGAUCCCCGCACUUUGGGAGGCCGAGGCAGGCAGAUCUCUUGAGGCCAGGAGUUUGAGACUAGCCUGGCCAACAUGGCAAAACCCCAUCUCUACAAAAAAUUAGCAAAGCAUGGUGGCACAUGCCUGUAAUUACAGCUACUUGGGAGGCUGAGGCAUGAGAAUCACUUGACCUGGGAUUACAAGUGUAAUCCCAGCCAUAGGCUGGGUGCAGUGGCUCACACCUGUAAUCCCAGCACUUUGGGAGGCCAAGGUACGGGUGGAUCACCUGAGGUCAAGAGUUCAAGACCAGCCUGGCCAACAUGGUGAAACCCCGUCUCUACAAAAACACAAAAAUUAGCCGGGCAUGAUGGUGCGCACCUGUAAUCCCAGCUACUCAGGAGGCUGAGGCAGGAGAAUCGCAUGAACCCAGGAGGCAGAUGUUGCAGUGAGCCAAGAUCACGCCAUUGCACUCCAGCCUGGGCAACAGAGUGAGACUCCACCUCAAAAAAAAAAAAACAAAAAAAAACCACCAGCCAUUUGGGAAGCCAAGGCAGGAUUGCUUGAGACCAACCAGAAGUUCAAGGUUGCCUGGGCAACAGAGCAAGACUGUCUCGAGACAAAACAAAAAGUCAGCAUCUUCUGCCCACUUUUACUUUAACAUACAUUUAUGGAUCUAUUGUCUCUUUCCCUGUUCUAAAACUUUAAAUUUCACAAGAAUGAAGAUUUUGCUGUCUUGUUUCCUGCUGUGUCCCCAGCAUAAACAGCAUAAAGAAGUGCCAUAAGAUAGAAAUUUUUGUUUUCUGUUCACCAGUAUAUCCACAGCACCUAGAACAGCAUCUGCUUUAGACUUAUUAGAUGAAGACUUAAAAAAAAAAGGAACAGCACUUCUGCACAUAUUUAGCACUUGAUACAUAUUUGUGGAAUAAUUUCUAUCAUAACUAGCAGCUACUUCCUAAUUUGAUAUGUAGCAUCCCGUAUUAACAGGACUUUUGUGAAUGGAGAGGACAUCUAUUUAUUCUUUGUUAUGUGCCAAAUAUAUUUGUAUUAAUCAUAACUCUUAAUAUUCCUUUAAAAUUAAAUAAUUGUUUCCACAGCUCUUAAAAUAGAAUUUAGGAACCUAGCAACAUGCCACUCAUCCAUUAACAGUGAUAAAUUAUUUAAUUUUAUAAACUUUUCAUUAAAGUAACUGAUAUAGUUUGGA
RNAcentral lists this long non-coding RNA (4369 nucleotides) under Homo sapiens (human). RNAcentral's name for it is "KHDC1 antisense RNA 1, transcript variant 5 (KHDC1-AS1)". The record is from RNAcentral. Lineage: Eukaryota; Metazoa; Chordata; Mammalia; Primates; Hominidae.